RNAcentral lists this small nuclear RNA (103 nucleotides) under Salvator merianae (Argentine black and white tegu). The record is from RNAcentral. Lineage: Eukaryota; Metazoa; Chordata; Lepidosauria; Squamata; Teiidae.
CACUUUGCUGAAGUAUUCCUUUGAAUUUGGCAAACAUAUACUAAGAUUAGUAUGGCCCCUGUGCAAGGAUGACACACAAAUUCGUGAAGUGUUCCUUUUUUUU